GUGAACUCUUCACUCCAGUGCCUGCACUUUCGACCUCUGUAGUCGACCCAGCUGCCCAGUCUCUACCUCACCUGAUCCGGUAUAUUCUCCCCCACCCUCCAAAUCGCACAACCGCCUUCUGCCAGCCUCAGCCCUGUCCACCACCUUCAGCCAUCUCCUCCUCCGAGGACCCCUUAGACCGCAGAGGCUGCUGUUGUUGCUUUAGUUGUGCCACAACCACGUGGUCCUGGAAACUGCCUCGCUCACUUUGUCUGCCUUUGUAUCUGCUGGCAUGGAUCUUGUCACCAUGUCAUGACACUAUAUCCAAGUAUCCAGCUCUGCCCUGUACUCAGAAGAAUUUGGUCCCUGCCUUCAAGAAGUUUGACUGUGAAGGCCUUAUUGUUCGCUCUGCCACCAAGGUGACCGCUGAUGUCAUCAACGCAGCUGAGAAACUCCAGGUGGUGGGCAGGGCUGGCACAGGUGUGGACAAUGUGGAUCUGGAGGCCGCAACAAGGAAGGGCAUCUUGGUUAUGAACACCCCCAAUGGGAACAGCCUCAGUGCCGCAGAACUCACUUGUGGGAUGAUCAUGUGCCUGGCCAGGCAGAUUCCCCAGGCGACGGCUUCGAUGAAGGACGGCAAAUGGGAGCGGAAGAAGUUCAUGGGAACAGAGCUGAAUGGAAAGACCCUGGGAAUUCUUGGCCUGGGCAGGAUUGGGAGAGAGGUAGCUACCCG
Molecule: small RNA, 712 nt
Filed under: Pan troglodytes (chimpanzee)
Lineage: Eukaryota; Metazoa; Chordata; Mammalia; Primates; Hominidae
Description: processed transcript
Source: RNAcentral